GCUGUCUGCAGUCAGAACAAGGCAUGGCAUGUAACCCGGUGGGGAAAGCCGGAUUCGGAGAGCUGGCCAAGUGCUUUUGCUUCGGCAGUUCUCUGUGGCUCAGGUUUACCCAGCCAGAGAGCACUGCCUACUUUCCUUCUUACCCUCUUCUAGGAUUCCCACAAUCCCCCCCCCGCCAGAGCUCGGUCAGUAGUGCUGCUGCCCUUAGAGUUUUAAAAAGUUGGAUGCUUCUCUGUUAUAAAAACAGCACACGUCACACUUGGAGAUGGCCACUAGCCAGGGAGAGAGGCAUUUGGGGGUGUGUGGGGUGGCAGGGGUGGGAGUCAGGUGGUGCAUUGAGCAUGCAGAUUUUUAUUUUCUGACUGGCAUCCUAUGGAGAAGUGGGUUCCAGAGAAUAGUGGUGUACAGGAGACCAGUUGAAUUUAAAAUAUUUAUGUAUUGAACUAUCUAAAUCUCUCUCCUCCUCCUCCAUACAUCACCUUCUUGCCUUUCAUCCCUACCCUUGGGGCAGCUGUCCCAUUUUCUGGGUGAAGAAGAAAAAAAAAAAA
RNAcentral lists this long non-coding RNA (548 nucleotides) under Rattus norvegicus (Norway rat). RNAcentral's name for it is "long non-coding RNA NONRATT010715". The record is from RNAcentral. Lineage: Eukaryota; Metazoa; Chordata; Mammalia; Rodentia; Muridae.